RNAcentral lists this ribosomal RNA (492 nucleotides) under uncultured bacterium. RNAcentral's name for it is "partial 16S ribosomal RNA". It matches the Rfam family "Bacterial small subunit ribosomal RNA", at positions 29 to 507 of the family's 1533-position model. The record is from RNAcentral.
AGUGAACGCUGGCGGUAGGCCUAACACAUGCAAGUCGAACGGCAGCACAGUAAGAGCUUGCUCUUACGGGUGGCGAGUGGCGGACGGGUGAGGAAUACAUCGGAAUCUACUUUUUCGUGGGGGAUAACGUAGGGAAACUUACGCUAAUACAGUAUACCACCUACGGGUGAAUGCAGGGGAUCUUCGUACCUUGCGCGAUUGACUGAGCCGAUGUCGGAUUAGCUAGUUGGCGGGGUAAAGGCCCACCAAGGCGACGAUCCGUAGCUGGUCAGAGAGGAUGAUCAGCCACACUGGAACUGAGACACGGUCCAGACUCCUACGGGAGGCAGCAGUGGGGAAUAUUGGACAAUGGGCGCAAGCCUGAUCCAGCCAGACCGCGUGGGUGAAGAAGGCCUUCGGGUUGUAAAGCCCUUUUGUUGGGAAAGAAAAGCAGCAGGUUAAUACCCCGCUGUUCUGACGGUACCCAAAGAAUAAGCACCGGCUAACUUCGUG